Molecule: small RNA, 107 nt
Filed under: human gut metagenome
Description: Ribosomal protein L10 leader
Rfam family: Ribosomal protein L10 leader
About the family: This family is a putative r-protein leader autoregulatory structure found in B. subtilis and other low-GC Gram-positive bacteria.
Source: RNAcentral
GCGCUCCGAAGACAGCAGGUGGUUUUACCGUAAAUUCCUGCCGAGGACAUCAACAAUAUUUUGAUUGUUUUUGUGCCUUCGCGUCUUUUGAUGCGGAGGUUUUCUUU